GUGAACGAUCAAGGGCGCGCGGUGGAUGCCUUGGCUCUCGGAGGCGAUGAAGGACGCGAUAAGCCGCGAUAGGCCACGGCGAGGUGCAAGUAACCCUUGACCCGUGGAUUUCCGAAUGGGGCAACCCGGCCGUCUAGAUGACGGUCAUCCAGCAAUGGAGGCGAACGCGGGGAACUGAAACAUCUCAUUACCCGCAGGAGAAGAAAACAACAGUGAUUCCCCCAGUAGUGGCGAGCGAACGGGGAAGAGCCCAAACCGGUGCCGUUUCGGCGACACCGGGGUCAUGGGACCGCGCCAUUCGACGAUGGACGAAGUGCAAUUACCUGGAAAGGUAAGCCGCGGAGGGUGAUAGCCCCGUGCACGACAGCCCCAUCGAAGAUAGCGGAAUCCCGAGUAGGGCGGGACACGAGAAAUCCUGCCUGAAUUCGCCAGGACCCCCUGGCAAGGCUAAAUACUCCCGAGAGACCGAUAGUGAACCAGUACCGCGAGGGAAAGGUGAAAAGUACCCCGAGCAGGGGGGUGAAAUAGACCCUGAACCCGCGCGCCUACAAGCGGUCGGAGCCAUGAAAUAUGGUGACGGCGUGCCUUUUGCAUAAUGAGCCUACGAGUUAGUCGUCACCAGCGAGGUUAAGGGCUUCAGGCCCGUCAGCCGAAGUGAAAGCGAGCCUUAACAGGGCGUGAAGUUGGUGGCGCUAGACGCGAAACCUUGUGAUCUACCCACGAGCAGGUUGAAGUCGCGGUAACACGUGAUGGAGGACCGAACCGGUAAACGUUGAAAAGUUUUCGGAUGACUCGCGGGUAGGGGUGAAAGGCCAAUCAAACUGGGAAAUAGCUCGUACUCUCCGAAAUGCAUUUCGGUGCAGCCUGUGAUGUUCUGUUCCAGAGGUAGAGCUACUGGUUGGACGCGAGGGCUUCACCGCCUAUCAAAUCCGGAUAAACUCCGAAUGCUGGAACACGAAAUCAUGGAGUGAGCCCGCGGGUGCUAAGGUCCGCGGACGAGAGGGAAAGAACCCGGACCACCGGCUAAGGUCCCGGAUGGACAGUUAAGUUGAUCAAACGAGGUGGGAUCGCGGAGACAGCUAGGAUGUUGGCUUGGAAGCAGCCAUUCAUUUAAAGAGUGCGUAACAGCUCACUAGUCGAGCGAUCCCGCGUGGAUAAUACACGGGCAUCAAACUGUCAACCGAAGCCGUGGGGUUAGCUUUAUUGCUAACCGGUAGGAGAGCAUUCCUGCCAGCUUUGAAGGUCACCCGCGAGAGUGACUGGAGCGGCAUGAAAAGCAAAUGUAGGCAUAAGUAACGAUAAUGGGGGCGAGAACCCCCCACGCCGCAAGACCAAGGAUUCCCCGGCAAUGUCAAUCAGCCGGGGGUCAGCCGGUCUCUAAGGCUAACCCGAAGGGGGACGCCGACGAGAAACGGGUUAACAUUCCCGUGCUUCUCGUCACCGUGACGCGGUGACGGGGUGAUGAAUGGACCGCGCGCUGACGGAAUAGCGCGUUGAAGACCGUACCCUUUGACGGUGGUAGUCAAGCACGCCACCGGAGGCGAAAGUCGAUAGUACCUCGAGGCCUCGGCCGAGGGGAUAGCGUCCAGGCAAUUUACCCCCGAGAAAACCCGCUAAACUUCAAGUGACGAGGAACCGUACUGUAAACGGACACACGUGGUCGGGUAGAACAUACCAAGGCGCUCGAGUGAUUCAUGGUCAAGGAACUAGGCAAAAUAGUCCUGUAACCUCGGGAAAAAGGACGCUCUAGUGAUAGAGCCGCAGAGUAAUGGCCCAGGCGACUGUUUACCAAAAACACAUGGCUAUGCCAAAUCGAAAGAUGACGUAUAUGGCCUGACACCUGCCCGGUGCCGGAAGGUUAAGAGGAGAGCUCAUCGGUAAUGAGAAGGUUUGAAUUGAAGCCCCGGUAAACGGCGGCCGUAACUAUAACGGUCCUAAGGUAGCGAAAUUCCUUGUC
RNAcentral lists this ribosomal RNA (1957 nucleotides) under human gut metagenome. RNAcentral's name for it is "bacterial LSU rRNA". It matches the Rfam family "Bacterial large subunit ribosomal RNA", at positions 1 to 1973 of the family's 2925-position model. The record is from RNAcentral.